RNAcentral lists this ribosomal RNA (251 nucleotides) under uncultured prokaryote. RNAcentral describes it as "partial 16S rRNA". It matches the Rfam family "Bacterial small subunit ribosomal RNA", at positions 525 to 775 of the family's 1533-position model. The record is from RNAcentral.
ACAGAGGGUGCGAGCGUUAAUCGGAAUUACUGGGCGUAAAGCGCGCGUAGGCGGUUUGUUAAGUCGGAUGUGAAAUCCCCGGGCUCAACCUGGGAAUUGCAUUCGAUACUGGCAAGCUAGAGUAUGGGAGAGGAAGGUAGAAUUCCAGGUGUAGCGGUGAAAUGCGUAGAGAUCUGGAGGAAUACCGAUGGCGAAGGCAGCCUUCUGGCCUAAUACUGACGCUGAGGUGCGAAAGCAUGGGGAGCAAACAG